ACCUGGUUGAUCCUGCCAGUAGUCAUAUGCUUGUCUCAAAGAUUAAGCCUGUAAGACCCGUUCCUGGUCUCUUGACCCAACUGGAUAAGAAUGCUUACUUAUUAAUUUCUUUGCUCGUUUGAUCCAUUUUAAGUUUUUUAUUUGCUAAGUCUUAUUCGAAUAUGAGGUUCAUAAACAAAGGAACAGAUUGCACAGCGGAAUAACAAUGUAUAAACUUUGUAUUACUUAGAAACAUGAGAUUCAAUACACAACUUCUUAACAGUCUCAUAGACAAUCACUAGUUCAUCCCUAGUAUAAUCUAACCACACGUUACACAGCCUCUCACUGACCGAGCCUUCACGGCUUUUUGGCUUGACCAGAACCAUCCUUAGUUCCUGAAACCACAACCAGAUAAGCAUUAACCAUAACCGAGAAUAGAACGGAUUGAUUCUACAAUGCUUGGCUUGGUUCCUAGAACUUAGAUAAACCUCAGUCAACAUAAUCAUAAAACGUAUGAACCUACCUACCGUAUCCUAAGUCAUUCAACCAACCACCCCUUGACUUAGAAUCAGAAAGAUAGUCCAGAAUAGAUAAACAGAACACACAAACAGAUCCGGAUCGUCCCCAAAGACCAAUCCAUCUAACCGGAUAGAAUCUAGGUGCAACCGGCCAAUCGAGUCCGACUCGAUGGCCCAACGGACUCCCUUACCUGAUCCGGCCUUAGGCCUGGAUCCAAUCGGCCGAGUAAGCCUCAAGCCUAAUCCAGAAGGCUUAGCAACCGGUCAAACCUUGCGACUCCACCUUGGCUUAGACAAACCGUGACCUUGUCUUGACUAGACAAGCCAUAGGCUGAUCCAUAAGGAUCGGUCCUAACCUGUCCUGAAAGACACCGUUUGGAACAUGUACCCUUUGGCCAUUCGUGCCUCUUGGACACUCGUGACUCUUGACAACUCGUGCCCUUUGGGUCAUUCCCAACCGUUCGUCCUAACCGCCCAAUCUUGGUGCGAUCGGAUCAUCCCACUAACCGACCCGUGUCUAGGCUAGCGGUUUGAUUAUGUUUGGCCAAAGCCUAGGGACGUUUCCCUUGGACUCAACCAACACAACCUUUCGUGUUUAACCAGAGAUAAGAGAAGAGAAACGAAUUGAAACAGAUAAGGAGAGCCGGAUGGGACUUAGGAACCGAGCAGAGCCGCGGUGCGGUCGCAUGGACCGUCCUUUCGGUCUGAUGGAGCCACGGCCCAUCACAUAUCUUGUGAACCACGUCUGGGUUCUCCAUGCUCUUCUCCUUGUCUUGAUCUUCCAUUCUUGACCGGAGUUAGUUCUCAAACGAUCAGAGUCACCGGAACACAACACCACCACAAUCGGCCUUUCUCUUGGCCGGAACUCUCUCUUUCUCUCUUUCUUUCUCUCUACGGUUUUCUCUGAGUAUUUUACUCUGGAAUUGGAUAAUGAAAUUGACCAGAGAGCCCCAAUAUUUAUAGAAAACGAGGGGGUAAGUCUUGCCCCACGAACAGGCAUGACUUGCUAGCGAAUGGGCACCAUCGGCCAAGGGUUGUCCCCUUUCGGCCACAUGCAUCCCUUCGCCCUUUCUGAUUGGGUUUGGGGUCGGCCACAAGCCCAACCCACGCCCCAAGCCUCCUGGACUUUAGCCCACGGCCUUGUCCUAAGACCCAACAGCCCAUGGCCUCAUGGCCGGACCUCACAGCCCGCCACUGACCCGGACCCGGACCAUCAGCCUAAAGCCCGGACAGUCCGUCUAGCUGAGAUGAGCUGACUCUCAGCUGCCUCAGCUGAGUGAGCUAGUAGUCCAGCUAGUGGAGCUGACUUAGUAGGGACUGAGCUGGAGUGAACUGAACCUAGCUUCAUUGAGCUGGCCGAGCUACUCGUCCACUUCGUCCAGCUACCGUCUUACUCGUCCUAGCUGUCUCUUAGCUUUUAUAAGGUUAAGUCUAAGUUUCCUUAUGUCCUUAACCUUCUUUCUCGAUUAUGGAACGCUUGCCUUGAUGUCCUAAGACUGGCUUGCACGUUUCCUCGAACCAUGGCCGUCCCAACAAUCCUACUCAGGAUUGGGGGCGUGACAAGUCUCCCCCCCUUGGGAUGGAUUCUUCCUCGAAUCCGAAUCGAAUGCUUCCUCGGAAACAAACUGAUCCAACCAUUCUGGGUACUCUGCUUUCAUUCUAGCUUCGGUUUCCCAAGUGAUUAUAUCCUGACCAUUACAGUCCGAGACGACCUUGACCAUCUGGACCGUCUUCUUCCUUGUUGCUUUUUCCAUCCUAUAUAUGAUUCGAACUGGCCUCGUUUCCAAGGUUAGGUUCUUACCAAGAUCGUCUGGAAUGGCAGGAAGAGCGAUGUCUUGGUCCGUCAAACAUUUCCGAAGUUGGGAGACGUGGAGAAGGAUUCAAGAUUGAGGAAAUGCAUGGAGAUGUAUUAAGAUGGAGCGAGUUCAGAAUCAGAAAAUCUAGAAGAAGACUGAAGAAAUCAAGGGGAGAUAUCUAAGGCCAACCGAUAAAGAAGCACAUCUAGUGAUCAAGACAAAGUUAUGUAAUGAUGAGUUAUGGAGGAGUUGUUAUCAAGGUGGAGCAAGUUCAAAAUCCAAAGUGUUCAUGGAGACCCAAAGAAACCGAAAGAAAGGCGAGCCAGCAAAGAACCAUAUCUUAUGACCAAGACCGCAAGACGAAGUUAUUCAAAAUCUGAACAUCAUCACUACACAUCAAGGAGGAACAUUUCGUGAAGCUAAGCAAUUGCACAACUAAGAAUUCGAGGACGAAUUCUACUAAGGGGGGGGGGGAGAAUGUCAUAACCCGCCCUUUGGGAUAAAAUGGUCGAGAGAGCAAAAGUCAGAAUCCAGAGCCGAGCUUUUGGGAAUCAAAGCAAUUGAAGGAAUGUUAAGUUUUGAUCACUUAAGACUUAACAUGGAUCGAAGAAAAUAGAAGAUUGGUCGAGCAUCAACUUUGUGGUUGAGUCGCGGGCAAUAUAGAUCGAUCGGGAAAUUUGAAGUACGAGAAGGUCGAAGAAUGGAUUACGGCAGUUUUGGAAGAAUCACAUUUUUGAAGCCCGACGGUUUAAAAGCUCGACAUUUUUGAAGAUUGACGUUUCUUCAUCGCGAAGUUUUCUCGGAAUAUCUUCGUAUCAGUAAAAUAUUAUUCUGAAGACAUUAUAAGUCGGAAGCAGGACGGGAAUUAAGCAGGACGGGAAGCAAGCACGACAGGAUUGAAGCACGACGGGAAAACCCGAAGUUGGGCGAAAACCCUAAUUUCGGUAUUACGAAAUUCUUUGAGGAAGCCGGAGGCUCAGGAAAUAUUUUUAAAGGAUAUCAGACAUCAUCUGUAGUUUAUUAAAAAUAUUCAGAGAAUCAGAAUGGGAGCGGAAAAAUAUUUGGGAUUGAUCGCGGGACGAAAAUUCACCGGAAUGGUCGAAAUCGCGCAAAGAAACCGAGAAGCUCGAGGUGGCUUGAUCAGAAGGGAUAAGAACGUGGUGGCAACUGUCUAACCAGCUGAGUGUCAAGAGAAGCUCGAGGUGUCGCCGUGUAUGGAAGCUGCACAUGCAGCUUGACAUGUAGAAGCACGAGGUGGAUCGGCCAAGCACGAGAUGUCGCGACGCAUGCAACCGAAGCAUGUUGAUCGACAUGUGUGAGGAUGUGUGGCGCCUUGCAGGAGCUCCAGUCAUGCAGCCUGACAUCUGGGAGGAGUGGUGGCGUUCUGCAUGUGUCUCGGACAUGCAGUCAGCCAUGUGGAGCACGAGGUGGAUUGGCCAAGCACGAGAUGUCGCGACGCAUGCAACCGAAGCAUGCUUAUCGACAUGUGUGAGGAUGUGUGGCGCCUUGCAUGAGCUCCAGUCAUGCAGCCUGACAUCUGGGAGGAGUGGUGGCGUCCUGCAUGUGUCCUGGACAUGCAGCCAGCCAUGUGGAGCACGAGGUGUCGCCGUGCAUGCGUUCAGAGCCAUGCGGAGCGACACACGGGCUGCCACCAACCUGAAGCUGAUUGGCUGGUGUCUCCUAUAAAUACCCCACGACCCCAGCUCAUUUCUUCACAUCCAGACCUGUCCAAACCAAGUUAAAACCUUGAGAGAAAAGUAGAAAAAGAAAGCAAGUGAUUCCGAGCUAUUUCGAGAGUUUUAGAGAGUUUUCGAGAUCAGUUCUCUAUUGAUUUCGAGUCAUCGCCUUGAGAAGGUUCUGUCCAACUGAAGGUCAAUCAAGUGAAGAUCAGAUCAGAUGGGAAUCAAGUCAACGUGGCCAGAGAGAGAGAGAGAGAGAGAGAGAGAGAGAGAGAGAGAGAGAGAGAGAGAGAGAGAGAGAGAAGCAAAGUGGUCGACCUAGAGUGUAGUCGAUUCUCACCGAGAAGGCCAGUUCCGUCCAAUCGAUGAUUCUAUACGAUUGUGAGGCGGAAGCUCUGUCCAUAUCUAUCCGUCCAGGCCAGACAUAUUCUGUGAUGGUCAAGUGGAGGUUCUGUCCAGAGUUAGUUCACUUCCAUGGGUUCAGAUCAGUCGAAGUUCUGCUCGAUACUCCGCCAGAAAGUCCGAAGAACUGUCCAGAAGCUAGAGGAGGUUCUGUCCAAGUCCAGAUCAGACUAUCGAGGGCUGUCAGCUUCUUUGUGGUGAAGCCGAGAUUGUGUCCAAGACAAGAUCAGUUCAGUCCAGUCCAUUCAAGACGUCUAUUGGGUUUUGGCCAAGUCCUCUCCGAUCAACCAGCUGCUUUUCGCCUAGAACACUGUGAGUUGGUUUGUUUGAAUUCCACUUGGAAUUUAGGGUAGAUCGAGUCGCAUAUAGAGUAGAAUGAUCACGUUAUUGAAUGGUAGAGUCCUUAGGGUUAUUUUAUUUAUUGAACUGGACUCAGUUUAGCAAGGGCUAAGCUGAGAUGAAAUGAAUUAAGACUGAGUUGAUAACCUGAUUAGGACUAAGAAUAGGAUGCAUCAUGUUUUCUAUUCUUGCGUGUUGAUAUGGUUGAGUGCAGGUUCCCGUUAUCUUUAAAGAUAGUUUCACAGCGGGAGGCUGGACUAUCUGGGUAACGGUUUGAUUGAGUUGUUUGGUAUUGAUAUUGUUGUUUAGUUGUUUAGUAGUUGGGCCAUAUAGGCCGGACUACUGGUACUAUGGUUAGUCUUGUGGAGUUGAGUGUCUAGUUAGGAUCUGGAACUUUGGCUUUAGGUUAGGUUCUAGAUUGAGUUUGUUUUGUUGUGAGUGUGCCGACAGUAUGUGCGAAACCCGCCCAUACUAGGCUUGUGUAGGGGUGAUUAGUGUUUCCUUGGCCUCGUACCCAGCGGGUUCAAGGAAACCCCUUAUUCGCUGGAUCGGGAAGACUCAGACGAACGGUGUCAUGUACUAUGGCUGAGUAUUACACGAUGGUGUAAUGUUGCAGUGACCCGAAGGACUGUGGGCUGUCGCGCGGUGACCCGAAUGAAUGUGGGCCGCGGUCGGUUGAAAGUUCCUUCUUCUGGCCUUUGUGGUAGGGAGAUAGGAUAUUCCCUAUAGAGAGGAGGAACACGAUGUCACCAGGGCCCAGGUUAGAGUGUUGUGUUAGAGUGUCGUAGAGGGUUAUGGAACCGUCGAGUUAGUGUAGCACCGAUAUAUGGUGUUACAAGUUAGAUCGAGUCGUAGUUACUCAUAGUCUUAUUAUUGUGAUUGUGUUUGUGGUUGAUUGAUUUGCUUGCAGGUUCUGGCGUUAAGUCUAAGUCUGGUUUAGGUACCGGAUUAGGCUUGAUGUGUAUUUCGUUAGUGUAGGCCUGACGUUGGCCUGUAUGUGUUUGAGUGGUUGCUUGUGAAGGGUGGUGGAUAUUAAAGCUAUGCGGUAUCAUUGGUUGGCCGAUCAUGUUCUUGUUUGAUUGUUGGUCGAUCAAUUAAUGAUACUUGUAUAGUCUAAGUGUCUAACACUACAUGAGUACUGAACUCAGGCGUAUAUAUGGUUAACUAGGGAUUGUUUGUUGACUUGUUUAAUGCAGGUUCCCGUUACUUGAAGCUAGAUCAUGGCAGGAGGCCAAGUCUAACUUAGUAACGGUUUGCUUAGCCUUAGCUUUUAUUGCAUGCUAGGGCUAGAUUGAUUGUUAUUUUGGGUUGUAUGGGUAGAGUCUAGGUUGCGGGCAGGGGCCGCCAGCUCACUGAGUAAUACUAGAUUACUCAUCCAACUCCGUUGUCCUUUUUGCAGGUCGCUUUAGGUAAGGAUGAUCGGAUAGCUUCGUGCUGGACGUUAGGACCGCCGGUGUAGAUUUUCAUGCCUUUUGUAAACGGUAUUGUGAAUUGUGUUAUGUUGACUCGAUUUGGCAUUAGGCCGGGCCCAGUCUUGGAUUAUUCUAUGUAUGAAUAUUUCCUAAAUUAAUAAAAGUAAUUGUUUUAUAUGCGCUUCAUGAGUACUCUGAUAUUUGACUAGUCCGGUCUAACACAACGUUAGGUCGAGGUACGGUUUGAAAAGCCUUAGGCCUUUAUCUAACGGAAAACCCUAACUCUAGGUACGGGUUGCAAAGCCUUAUGCCUUGACGCAGCGGGACGAAUUAGUGGAUGAACUGGUCUAGGUCGUGGAGUAAAGUUUGUGACUCUGACCGGAUUGUCCCUAGCCCGUCACGUAGCGUUUCCGGACCAUGGUGUUGGGUUGGACGGUCAGUCAUGUUCUUGUUUGAUUGUUGGCUGGCCGGUUGGCCUUUCAUCUCCAACCCUUGGUGUGGGUCGUCCGUCGGUCAUGUUCUUGUUUGAAUGUUGGCCGGUGGGUCGACCUAUGCUUAGGACGGUUCGGGGGUGUUACAUAGGUGGUAUCAGAGCAUGGUUUCGUCCAUGCUUCUGGAACUCAUGAUUUAAUCGGUUUUAAAUAUUCAUCGAGUCAAAAAGAGUCACAAAAGGCAUUAGGGAAACCGGUCACGUCCAGCGAUAGGAUUUGUGGUUUUAGGAAUUAGGAUUGAGAUAGUGGAAUCUAGAAUUGCUAGGUUGAUUGGGUAGCACUGUUAGGUUGCUGGUUAGAAUUGCGGUUAGGUUGCAUUGUUAGUAUUUGCUGGGUUAGUAGAUUAUGUGAUUAAUUGUCUACUAACUUGCAUGUGAGGUGUUCUUUUGAGUUGCAGCGAGUAAGUGCGUUUGUUGAUCGGUACUUUAAGGGAUGAAAACCUUAAAGUGGAGGGAGUUCGAGGCCAAACCCAAACCCGAAGUGAAAGAGGAGAGACAGAUUCAGAGAACUGGCUGUGGUAUGGACUGGACAGAUGGGAAGAAACAAGACUUCGUUGGGAAAUGACUUCAUCAGUAUCUGGGAAAUGAGAGAUCGAGGUAAUGGUUGGAGUAAUCAGAGGCGCAGAUUGGCAAGAUCGUAUCAUGGGAAAUUAGUUGGGCAGCAAAGUAAAAACUAAGAAGAAGACGCAGUGAUCAUUCAAGUGAAGAUUUAUGAAGAUGAUUGUGGUGACAUUGGGAAGGACACUCAAGGGACAGUGAAAGGCAGAGUGAAGAGAUAUGAAGACGAUUAUGGCGACUUUAGACAGUAUACACAAAGGGACAUGGGCAAGAAAAGUAAAGAGUUAUGAAGACAAGUUGAGAUUAAGUGAAGCAUGAGAAAUCAAGAUGUGAAGAAAUGAAAGGAUUCAAGACCGAGGAAAUGCAUGGAGAUGUAUUAAGAUGGAGCGAGUUCAGAAUCAGAAAAUCUAGAAGAAGACUGAAGAAAUCAAGGGGAGAUAUCUAAGGCCAACCGAUAAAGAAGCACAUCUAGUGAUCAAGACAAAGUUAUGUAAUGAUGAGUUAUGGAGGAGUUGUUAUCAAGGUGGAGCAAGUUCAAAAUCCAAAGUGUUCAUGGAGACCCAAAGAAACCGAAAGAAAGGCGAGCCAGCAAAGAACCAUAUCUUAUGACCAAGACCGCAAGACGAAGUUAUUCAAAAUCUGAACAUCAUCACUACACAUCAAGGAGGAACAUUUUGUGAAGCUAAGCAAUUGCACAACUAAGAAUUCGAGGACGAAUUCUACUAAGGGGGGGGGGAGAAUGUCAUAACCCGCCCUUUGGGAUAAAAUGGUCGAGAGAGCAAAAGUCAGAAUCCAGAGCCGAGCUUUUGGGAAUCAAAGCAAUUGAACGAAUGUUAGUUUUGAUCACUUAAGACUUAACAUGGAUCGAAGAAAAUAGAAGAUUGGUCGAGCAUCAACUUUGUGGUUGAGUCACGGGCAAUACAGAUCGAUCGGGAAAUUUGAAGUACGAGAAGGUCGAAGAAUGGAUUACGGUAGUUUUGGAAGAAUCACAUUUUUGAAGCCCGACGGUUUAAAAGCUCGACAUUUUUGAAGAUUGACGUUUCUUCAUCGCGAAGUUUUCUUGGAAUAUCUUCGUAUCAGUAAAAUAUUAUUCUGAAGACAUUAUAAGUCGGAAGCAGGACGGGAAUUAAGCAGGAAGGGAAGCAAGCACGACGGGAAGCAAGCACGACGGGAUUGAAGCACGACGGGAAAACCCGAAGUUGGGCGAAAACCCUAAUUUCGGUAUUACGAAAUUCUUUGAGGAAGCCGGAGGCUCGGGAAAUAUUUUUAAAGGAUAUCAGACAUCAUCUGUAGUUUAUUAAAAAUAUUCAGAGAAUCAGAAUGGGAGCGGAAAAAUAUUUGGGAUUGAUCGCGGGACGAAAAUUCACCGGAAUGGUCGAAAUCGCGCAAAGAAACAGAGAAGCUCGAGGUGGCUUGAUCAGAAUGGAUAAGAACGUGGUGGCAACUGUCUAACCAGCUGAGUGUCAAGAGAAGCUCGAGGUGUCGCCGUGUAUGGAAGCUGCACAUGCAGCUUGACAUGUAGAAGCACGAGGUGGAUCGGCCAAGCACGAGAUGUCGCGACGCAUGCAACCGAAGCAUGUUGAUCGACAUGUGUGAGGAUGUGUGGCGCCUUGCAGGAGCUCCAGUCAUGCAGCCUGACAUCUGGGAGGAGUGGUGGCGUUCUGCAUGUGUCUCGGACAUGCAGCCAGCCAUGUGGAGCACGAGGUGGAUUGGCCAAGCACGAGAUGUCGCGACGCAUGCAACCGAAGCAUGCUUAUCGACAUGUGUGAGGAUGUGUGGCGCCUUGCAUGAGCUCCAGUCAUGCAGCCUGACAUCUGGGAGGAGUGGUGGCGUCCUGCAUGUGUCCUGGACAUGCAGCCAGCCAUGUGGAGCACGAGGUGUCGCCGUGCAUGCGUUCAGAGCCAUGCGGAGCGACACACGGGCUGCCACCAACCUGAAGCUGAUUGGCUGGUGUCUCCUAUAAAUACCCCACGACCCCAGCUCAUUUCUUCACAUCCAGACCUGUCCAAACCAAGUUAAAACCUUGAGAGAAAAGUAGAAAAAGAAAGCAAGUGAUUCCGAGCUAUUUCGAGAGUUUUAGAGAGUUUUCGAGAUCAGUUCUCUAUUGAUUUCGAGUCAUCGCCUUGAGAAGGUUCUGUCCAACUGAAGGUCAAUCAAGUGAAGAUCAGAUCAGAUGGGAAUCAAGUCAACGUGGCCAGAGAGAGAGAGAGAGAGAGAGAGAGAGAGAGAGAGAGAGAGAGAGAGAGAGAAGCAAAGUGGUCGACCUAGAGUGUAGUCGAUUCUCACCGAGAAGGCCAGUUCCGUCCAAUCGAUGAUUCUAUACGAUUGUGAGGCGGAAGCUCUGUCCAUAUCUAUCCGUCCAGGCCAGACAUAUUCUGUGAUGGUCAAGUGGAUGUUCUGUCCAGAGUUAGUUCACUUCCAUGGGUUCAGAUCAGUCGAAGUUCUGCUCGAUACUCCGCCAGAAAGUCCGAAGAACUGUCCAGAAGCUAGAGGAGGUUCUGUCCAAGUCCAGAUCAGACUAUCGAGGCCUGUCAGCUUCUUUGUGGUGAAGCCGAGAUUGUUUCCAAGACAAGAUCAGUUCAGUUCAGUCCAGUCCAUUCAAGGCGUCUAUUGGGUUUUGGCCAAGUCCUCUCCGAUCAACCAGCUGCUUUUCGCCUAGAACACUGUGAGUUGGUUUGUUUGAAUUCCACUUGGAAUUUAGGGUAGAUCGAGUCGCAUAUAGAGUAGAAUGAUCACGUUAUUGAAUGGUAGAGUCCUUAGGGUUAUUUUAUUUAUUGAACUGGACUCAGUUUAGCAAGGGAUAAGCUGAGAUGAAAGGAAUUAAGACUGAAUUGAUAACCUGAUUAGGACUAAGAAUAGGAUGCAUCAUGUUUUCUAUUCUUGCGUGUUGAUAUGGUUGAGUGCAGGUUCCCGUUAUCUUUAAAGAUAGUUUCUCAGCGGGAGGCUGGACUAUCUGGGUAACGGUUUGAUUGAGUUGUUUGGUAUUGAUAUUGUUGUUUAAUUGUUUAGUAGUUAGGCCAUAUAGGCCGGACUACUGGUACUAUGGUUAGUCUUGUGGAGUUGAGUGUCUAGUUAGGAUCUGGAACUUUGGCUUUAGGUUAGGUUCUAGAUUGAGUUUGUUUUGUUGUGAGUGUGCCGCCAGUAUGUGCGAAACCCGCCCAUACUAGGCUUGUGUAGGGGUGAUUAGUGUUUCCUCGGCCUCGUACCCAGCGGGUUCAAGGAAACCCCUUAUUCGCUGGAUCGGGAAGACUCAGACGAACGGUGUCAUGUACUAUGGCUGAGUAUUACACGACGUUGUAAUGUGGCAGUGACCCGAAGGACUGUGGGCUGUCGCGCGGUGACCCGAAUGACUGUGGGCCGCGGUUGGUUGAAAGUUCCUUCUUCUGGCCUUUGUGGUAGGUAGAUAGGAUAUUGCCGAUAGAGAGGAGGAACACGAUGUCACCAGGGCCCAGGUUAGAGUGUUGUGUUAGAGUGUCGUAGAGGGUUAUGGAACCCUCGAGUUAGUGUAGCACCGAUAUACGGUGUUACAAGUUAGAUCGAGUCGUAGUUACUCAUAGUCUUAUUAUUGUGAUUGUGUUUGUGGUUGAUUGAUUUGCUUGCAGGUUUUGGCAUUGAGUCUAAGUCUGGUUUAGGUACCGGAUUAGGCUUGAUGUGUAUUUCGUUAGUGUAGGCCUGACGUUGGCCUGUAUGUGUUUGAGUGAUUGCUUGUGAAGGGUGGUGGAUAUUAAAGCUAUGCGGUAUCAUUGGUUGGCCGAUCAUGUUCUUGUUUGAUUGUUGGUCGAUCAAUUAAUGAUACUUGUAUAGUCUAAGUGUCUAACACUACAUGAGUACUGAACUCAGGCGUAUAUAUGGUUAACUAGGGAUUGUUUGUUGACUUGUUUUAAUGCAGGUUCCCGUUACUUGAAGCUAGAUCAUGGCAAGAGGCCAUGUCUAACUUAGUAACGGUUUGCUUAGCCUUAGCUUUUAUUGCAUGCUAGGGCUAGAUUGAUUGUUAUUUUGGGUUGUCUGGGUAGAGUCUAGGUUGCGGGUAGGGGCCGCCAGCUCACUGAGUAAUACUAGAUUUCUCAUCCAACUCCGUUGUCCUUUUUGCAGGUCGCUUUAGGUAAGGAUGAUCGGAUCGCUUCGUGCUGGACGUUAGGACCGCCGGUGUAGAUUUUCAUGCCUUUUGUAAACGGUAUUGUGAAUUGUGUUAUGUUGACUCGAUUUGGCAUUAGGCCGGGCCCAGUCUUGGAUUAUUCUAUGUAUGAAUAUUUCCUAAAUUAAUAAAAGUAAUUGUUUUAUAUGCGCUUCAUGAGAACUCUGAUAUUUGACUAGUCCGUUCUAACACAACGUUAGGUCGAGGUACGGGUUGAAAAGCCUUAGGCCUUUAUCUAACGGAAAACGCUAACUCUAGGUACGGGUUGCAAAGCCUUAUGCCUUGACGCAGAGGGACGAAUUAGAGGAUGAACUGGUCUAGGUCGUGGAGUAAAGUUUGUGACUCUGACCGGAUUGUCCCUAGCCCGUCACGUAGCGCUUUCGGACCAUGGUGUUGGGUUGGACGGUCAGUCAUGUUCUUGUUUGAUUGUUGGCUGGCCGGUUGGCCUUUCAUCUCCAACCCUUGGUGUGGGUCGUCCGUCGGUCAUGUUCUUGUUUGAUUGUUGGCCGGUGGGUCGACCUAUGCUUAGGACGGUUCGGGGGUGUUACAGUCUCAUCCUCAAGUUCCCUUCCAACAAAAUGUCGGAGCCGGUUGAACACCUCUUCGUACUCACGUAUGGCCCUGCGGCCUUGGGUAAGGUCUAGGAAUCUACCUUCCAGACGGUCCCAAACCUCUGCAGGAAAGUAUUUGCGGUUGAAUUCAUCUUCAAAAUCCGCAAAACUCUAGAGACUUCCAUUGGUGCGCUUGUUCACAGCCAGCCACCAAUUAUGCGCGCGCCCUUCCAGGAAGUGAACCGCAAUGUCUCUCUUGUAAUCCCCAGGACAACGAGUUGAGCUGAAGUUUCGGACUAGCCUACUCCUCCACUCGUCUGCCUCAAUAGGAUCGGUGCUUCCUGAGAAAUGCUUCGUCCCUAGAUGGGAGAUGUGCUGAAGCAAACUCAGAUAGUCCACCUUUUUCCCGGUCCUUUCUGGUGGAUCAAUCUCGAUCACCUCGACCGUUUCCACAACUGGACCAUUGGUGUUGGGGACGGUCGUAGCCACAGGCGUAGCUUGGCCAACUGAGGAGUUCACUAAUGGCGUGAACAGUUGGGCCAUAGCCGCCACUUGAGUCCCCAUUACCUUCAUGGCCUCUAACAAGUCCUCUUUGGACAGUGUUGCGGUUACAUUGGCCGCACCAUCGGCCACUUUCUCACGCUGGCCACCAUCACGGUUAGCGUUCGAGGAUUCCACUUCCUCAUCACUCUCCUGAUGUUCCUGACCAUCCUGUUGCGUCCCCGUAAGCCUGAUCAGUUGGCAACACAUUUUCAGCGUUAGCCGCGGCCGGAUCGGUUUGCAAACCGGACAGAUUAGUUCCGUCCACGGCCACUUGACUAGACUGACCGGCCAUUCUCUUACUUCUUCGGGACUUUCCCGAUUUGCUUUUUCCAGCCUAAGGAUUCAGACAAUGUUAGUACAAAACACACUAACAUAAACAGAACAAAACAAUCCCUAGACUAAGCAAUCAAACCUCACCGUGAGACCUAAUCAGCUGGCUGGUGGACUACAUAACCCAACUAUCCUAGAAUCAAGCAUGCUCUGAUACCAACUUGUAAGACCCGUUCCUGGUCUCUUGACCCAACUGGAUACGAAUGCUUACUUAUUAAUUUCUUUGCUCGUUUGAUCCAUUUUAAGUCUUUUAUUUGCUAAGUCAUAUUCGAAUAUGAGGUUCAAAAACAAAGGAACAGAUUGCACAGCGGAAUAACAAUGUAUAAACUUUGUAUUACUUAGAAACAUGAGAUUCAAUACACAACUUCUUAACAGUCUCAUAGACAAUCACUAGUUCAUCCCUAGCAUCAUCUAACCACAUGUUACACAGCCUCUCACUUACCGAGCCUUCACGGCUCCUUGGCUUGACCAGAACCAUCCUUAGUUCCUGAAACCACAACCAGAUAAGCAUUAAUCAUAACCGAGAAUAGAACGGAUUGAUUCUACAAUGCUUGGCUUGGUUCCUAGAACUUAGAUAAACCUCAGUCAACAUAAUCAUAAAACGUAUGAACCUACCUACCGUAUCCUAAGUCAUUCAACCAACCACCCCUUGACUUAGAAUCAGAUAGAUAGUCCAGAAUAGAUAAACAGAACACACGAACAGAUCCGGAUCGUCCCCAAAGACCAAUCCGUCUAACCGGAUUGAAUCUAGGUGCGACCGGCCAAUGGAGUCCGGCUCGAUGGCCCAACGGACUCCCUUACCUGAUCCGGCCUUAGGCCUGGAUUCAAUCGGCCGAGUAAGCCUCAAUCCUAAUCCGGAAGGCUUAGCAACCGGUCAGACCUUGCGACUCCACCUUGGCUUAGACAAACCGUGACCUUGUCUUGACUAGACAAGCCAUAGGCUGAUCCAUAAGGAUCGGUCCUAACCUGUCCCGAAAGACACCGUUUGGAACAUGUACCCUUUGGCCAUUCGUGCCUCUUGGACACUCGUGACUCUUGACAACUCGUGCCCUUUGGGUCAUUCCCAACCGUUCGUCCUAACCGCCCAGUCUUGGUGCGAUCGGAUCAUCCCACUAACCGACCCGUGUCUAGGCUAGCGGUUUGAUUAUGUUCGGCCAAAGCCUAGGGACGUGUCCCUUGGACUCAACCAACACAACCUUUCGUGUUUAACCAGAGAGAAGAGAAGAGAAACGAAUUGAAACAGAUAAGGAGAGCCGGAUGGGACUUAGGAACCGAGCAGAGCCGCGAUCGGUCGCAUGGACCGUCCAUUCGGUCUGAUGGAGCCACGGCCCAUCACAUACCUUGUGAACCACGUCUGGGUUCUCCAUGCUCUUCUCCUUGUCUUGAUCUUCGAUUCUUGACCGGAGUUAGUUCUCAAACGAUCAGAGUCGCCGGAACACAACACCACCACAAUCGGCCUUUCUCUUGGCCAGAACUCUCUCUUUCUCUCUUUCUUUCUCUCUACGGUUUUCUCUGAGUAUUUUACUCUGGAAUUGGAUAAUGAAAUCGACCAGAGAGCCCCCAUAUUUAUAGAAAACGAGGGGGUAAGUCUUGCCCCACGAACAGGCAUGACUUGCUAGCGAAUGGGCACCAUCGGCCAAGGGUUGUCCCCUUUCGGCCACUUGCAUCCCUUCGCCCUUUCUGAUUGGUUUUGGGGUCGGCCACAAGCCCAACCCACGCCCCAAGCCUCCUGGACUUUAGCCCACGGCCUUGUCCUAAGACCCAACAGCCCAUGGCCUCAUGGCCGGACCUCAAAGCCCGCCACUGACCCAGACCCGGACCAUCGGCCUAAAGCCCGGACAGUCCGUCUAGCUGAGAUGAGCUGACUCUCAGCUGCCUCAGCUGAGUGAGCUAGUAGUCCAGCUAGUGGAGCUGACUUAGUAGGGACUGAGCUGGAGUGAACUGAACCUAGCUUCAUUGAGCUGGCCGAGCUACUCGUCCACUUCGUCCAGCUACCGUCUUACUCGUCCUAGCUGUCUCUUAGCUUGUAUAAGGUUAAGUCUAAGUUUCCUUAUGUCCUUAACAUUCUUUCUCGACCAUGGAACGCUUGCCUUGAUGUCCUAAGACUGGCUUGCACGUUUCCUCGAACCAUGGCCGUCCCAACAAUCCCACUCAGGAUUGGGGGCGUGACAAAGCCAUGCAUGUGUAAGUAUGAACGAAUUCAGACUGUGAAACUGCGAAUAGCUCAUUAAAUCAGUUAUAGUUUGUUUGAUGGUAACUACUACUCGGAUAACCGUAGUAAUUCUAGAGCUAAUACGUGCAACAAACCCCGACUUCUGGAAGGGAUGCAUUUAUUAGAUAAAAGAUCAACGCGGGCUCUGCCCGUUGCUCUAAUGAUUCAUGAUAACUCGACGAAUCGGAUGGCCUUAGUGCUGGCGACGCAUCAUUGAAAUUUCUGCCCUAUCAA
Molecule: long non-coding RNA, 15178 nt
Filed under: Brassica rapa (field mustard)
Lineage: Eukaryota; Viridiplantae; Streptophyta; Magnoliopsida; Brassicales; Brassicaceae
Description: long non-coding RNA (BRAP_LNC008688)
Rfam family: Eukaryotic small subunit ribosomal RNA (bases 14859-15178)
Source: RNAcentral